AGUGAACGCUGGCGGUAGGCCUAACACAUGCAAGUCGAACGGCAGCACAGUAAGAGCUUGCUCUUACGGGUGGCGAGUGGCGGACGGGUGAGGAAUACAUCGGAAUCUACUUUUUCGUGGGGGAUAACGUAGGGAAACUUACGCUAAUACCGCAUACGACCUACGGGUGAAAGCAGGGGAUCUUCGGACCUUGCGCGAUUGAAUGAGCCGAUGUCGGAUUAGCUAGUUGGCGGGGUAAAGGCCCACCAAGGCGACGAUCCGUAGCUGGUCUGAGAGGAUGAGCAGCCACCCUGGAACUGAGAAACGGUCCAGACUCCUACGGGAGGCAGCAGUGGGGAAUAUUGGACAAUGGGCGCAAGCCUGAUCCAGCAAUACCGCGUGGGUGAAGAAGGCCUUCGGGUUGUAAAGCCCUUUUGUUGGGAAAGAAAAGCAGCAGGUUAAUACCCCGCUGUUCUGACGGUACCCAAAGAAUAAGCACCGGCUAACUUCGUG
RNAcentral lists this ribosomal RNA (492 nucleotides) under uncultured bacterium. RNAcentral's name for it is "partial 16S ribosomal RNA". It matches the Rfam family "Bacterial small subunit ribosomal RNA", at positions 29 to 507 of the family's 1533-position model. The record is from RNAcentral.